This is a long non-coding RNA of Oncorhynchus kisutch (coho salmon), 4362 nucleotides long. RefSeq lists it as uncharacterized. The record is from RefSeq and is a predicted model, not a curated record. The transcript is spliced from 2 exons. Lineage: Eukaryota; Metazoa; Chordata; Actinopteri; Salmoniformes; Salmonidae.
AUGGAAUUCACAGCAUGGAGUCGGCACAGUGAGUGAGGGGUCAUUGGGAGAGUAGAGAAAACCAUUUCCAUGAGAAUGGAAUGAAAACCAGCCGGCAGAGGGGUGGCCCAGAGGUGGCAGAGACACACAGGAGACUCAGAUGUUCCUCUCUCACUCCUCUCCUCCAAACUCCGGAGGGACAUAUGAAAGACACACGCAUCCUCCAUUGAGAGAACAGACAGAGAAUCUCUCAUUCUCUCUUCUUUCCAGGUUUUCAAUAUCUUCCAUCUUCCUGGCUCUGUCACUUCUUCUCUUGCGUUCCUCUUUCACUCUCUUCCUCCCUCUGUGUCUCUCCCUGUGCAGUGUAUCAAGGUCUCAAAGGGAAAUCUUGAUCAUAUGGGGAAAUGAGGCAGGGCUGUGGCAGAGCAGGAACCAUGUAAGUUUCUACAGAGCCAUAUAAGUUCCCCUGUGCUUUAUCCAUUGGGGCUCUAUUGUGGGCAUGGUGAAUGCCGUUGUCUAACAACGGCAAGUACAUACAUAGAUUUGGCCAGUCCUCAGAAAGCCUACAGCAGUUGAAAUGAAAUAUAUGUCCAUGUCCUUGUUUACAAUGCCAUUCACCAUGCCCACAAUAGAGCCCCAAUGAAUAAAGUGAAUAGAGAAACUUACAUGGAUCUGCAGAAACUUACAUGACUCCAGCUCUGCCACGGUGGCCUCAUUUCCCCAUUUAAUCAAUAUAUCCCUUUGAGCCCUUGAUACACUGCACAGGGAGAGCUUUGAAAUAGCUUGCCUCUGAUUGUACACAUAACUGUAUACAUUGUAUACACGAACUCAGUGUUCUCCAGACCAUGCCACUGUGGGUGAAUGGGGCCAGGGCGGCACUCAGAAGUCAGUUCACACAAGUGUGAGAGAGAUAAUUGGCAACAUGACCAUCGCUCGCUUGGUUAAACUGUUGCAAAAAAAAUAAGAAGAUUUCAGGUAGAAUGAGGAAAGUGUUUCAUAUUCAGUAAAAUAGCAUUUGAUAAUGUGGCCCAUGAUUGUGUGUUUGCGCAAGUUUUUGUGCGCUCUUAUGUCUGUAUUACUUUUGUGAGGUGCAUUUUCAUGUGUCAAUGUGUUCCCUAGAAGCCUGGGUUUGUCCAAUGUUCUGGCAUCUCUAUAUUCCCCUAACAAAGGCUCAGUAUCCUCGGUGUGGUUUCUCAAAAUCACACAUAAGCUGUAGAAAUUGCCGUGGUCAUAUUAAACCAAAAUGUAGACCUUUGGUUUGUUCAGUAUCAUCGCAUUACAUUUCAUGUUCUGUCCUGUACUGUACUUUACUAUACUGUAUGGCCUAUAAACAUAACAUAUAUAGACUGCUGUAUCUACAGCUCACACAGAACAGAAACUCAUCUCUUCACUCUCUUUGCAUUCUACUGGAGUCUCCAAAGCCUGCUCCACAGGAACAAACUGUAAUUAUUAUGUAAUCAGCUGGGCUGCUGCCCACCAAGCAUUACAUUGUUAGUUAACAUUCCUUAUAAAUAACCUUUAUUAAUUCAUCUGAGCAGGAGCUAAUAGGCAGUGGUGGUAUAAUACAUUUAAACAGCACGCUUAGGGUUCCUACUGUAUAAUGGCUGCAAUAUAGAUCCCUGUGCUCUGUCCAUACAGCCAACAUGAGUGUAACACUUUAAACUACACUACAAAUAGGUUAUUAUACAGAAACUACAAGGGAAAUACUCAUGAAAUAUUGCAUGUAAAUUACUAUGUCAGUUAUGACCAUAGUUCUUGUACAUUUCAAGGCCUUUGUGGACAAACCAUGGACAAGCAGGAUCAAUAAGUUUUAAAGUUGAAUUGUUUAGCAUUCUAGCUGCUCCUGCAGACUUCCAGUCAUUGAGCUAACACUGGUUAGCAAUGGCUCUAGAAACAGCCUUCAACUUCCUUCAGACUACCAGCAGAGACAUACAAAUGGUAUCAAUGAGUUCAUCAUGUAGAACAAAGUGCUUAAUUGCCAAAAUGUCAAACUAUCCCUUUAACCAUUUAACAUUCAAAGGACCCAAAUGAACAUGCAGUUGCCAGGGGCCUUAUUUAUCAGUCAUGCGUAGGCACAGAUCUGUGAGUAAACCAUGUGUGAGAUUUAUCAAUAUGAACGCUUGCUUGAGAUUGUGCGUACAUUUAUGCACAGCCCUGACAAUGUUUAUGCACAGUGCCAAGUGCUGGAAUAACAGAAUUGCUUGUCAAGCUUAGAAUAGGGAAAAUACAUGAUGAAAUUGUGAGAAUAAUAAUUCAAUCCAUUUUCAAUGUAAUUGUAUUUCUAUUGUGAAUUCAUGCAACAUAUCUUGACAGGCUAUAUGUAAUUUGACGACAUUAGAGCAUUUGUUAUGAUAAUAAUCCACAUACAGUACAGUAAUUUGUUAAAUUAGUGGCACGUGUGAAAGUGAAACAAGUGUUUAAAUACUGUAAAAGACAGAUCAUGGGAAAUCAAAUAGGAUAUUGAUAGAGUUUUUAGAGAGGUUUUAGAGCUCAUCAGAUAUUGUUUUCCCCUCCAAAAUAUGAUAUACAUUUUGCGAGGAUAUAAGACUUACUUUAAAAAGACAAAAACAUGCCAUUCCGAUGCACAUCCAACUGUUAUCCACCCUCAGGUUUAAGGCAACGGGCACUUUUCAACGGGAUCUCACAGCCCUCGAUAAACCAAUGUUUUGGAUGCAAUCAUCAGCAACACGUACAGUAACACAUACCAUUUCCAUACACCAUCGCACAACAGGAUGAAGUCAAGAGGGGUUUAUUUGCCAUGAUGAAAGCAAUGGGUUCCCAAAUAUGAAGAGAGCAAUAGACUGCGCCCACAUUGCCAUAAAAUAACCAUCUCAAAAUGAUUUCAACUAAGUGAACAGAAAAGAUUUCCACUCUUAAUGUGCAGGUGGUAGGUUAUGUGAUGUGCAAAUGAGGGCAUGGUGACCGGGUGGAACGCACGACUUGUUCAGAACAGCAAUGUUGGCCUACUACAGGAGGUAGCUGUUGAGGAUGGAUGGCUUAUUGGUGAGUGUUGCCUACUCAUUUGAAGUAUAUUUGCCAUUGCUAAAGCAACUUGAGUUUUCCUAAUAGUCUUCUCUUUGUAUCUAUGUUAUUAUUUUUACUGAGUGAGACAAAUAUCCUUUUGGUUGUACUCAAUCUCUGACAAUAGCACCUCUAUGUCAAACUUGGAAAACUUUUUUUUUUCCCACUUUGUUUUGGUGGCGGCAUUGUAUUUCAUGUCAGGGCUUUGUAUAUUCCACACAGGCAGUAAAGGGAUUAUUUUGACCAUAUGGUGGUUGACCAUAUGGUAGCCUCGUGGUUAGAGCGUUGGACUAGUAAGCGUUGCAAGAUCAAAUCCCCGAGCUGACAAGGUAAAAAUCUGUUUUUCUGCCCCUGAACAAGGCAGUUAACCCACUGUUCCUUGGCCGUCAUUAAAAAUAAGAAUUUGUUUUUACCUGACUUGCCUAGUUAAAUGAAGGUAAAAUUAAUAAAUACAUAUGUAUCUGUAUAAUUAGGGGUGUUUCAAAAUGCAAAUAGAGAACAAUUGGUAUUUAUCAAUCUUCUACCGGUAUGCGUUUGACGCUCGUGGGAAUGUUCGAUAAAACUUUUCUAUCCUUACGAACAUUCUAAAUUCCAUUAGUAAUUAGUAUUUUAAAAUAGUUUCUACGCAAUAUCGAUGAAUGAGGCCCGUGGACUUCAGAGUCAGCACAAAGUUACACAGUCUCUCUCUCUCUCUCUCUCUCUCUCUCUCUCUCUCUGUCUCUCUCUCUCUCUCAGUUUUAUUAAAUUCAAAGGGCUUUAUUGACAUGGGAAACAUGAUUAUUCUGCCAAAGCAAGUGGAGUAAACAAUAAACAAAAGGGAAAUAAACUGUCACAAUGUGAUCUGUUUCACCUGUCUUUGUGCUUGUCUCCACCCCCCUCCAGGUGCCACCCAUCUUCCCCAUUAUCACCAGUGUAUUUAUACCUGUUGUUCUCUGUUUGUCUGUUGCCAGUUCAUUUUGUUCGUCAAGCCUACCAGUGGUUUUCCCCUUGCUCCUGUCUUUGUCUAGUUUCUGUUUUCUAGUUUUCCCGGUUUCGACCAUUCUGCCUACCCUGAGCCUGCCUGUCACACCACCCUGGAUUACUGACCUCUGCUUGCCCUGACCCCGAGAAUGCCUGCCGUUCUGUACCUUUUAGACCCUGAUCUGGAUUACUGACCUCUGCUUGCCCUGACCCCGAGAAUGCCUGCCGUUCUGUACCUUUUAGACUCUGAUCUGGAUUACUGACCUCUGCCUGCCCUGACCCCGAGAAUGCCUGCCGUUCUGUACCUUUUGGACUCUGAUCUGGAUUACUGACCUCUGCUUGCCCUUGACCUGUCCUUUUGCCUGUCCCCUGUUUUAGUAAUAAACUUUUGUUCCGUCGACA